UCCACUUGGAGGAGACAAGAGAAGAGGAA
This 29-nucleotide non-coding RNA is filed under the name Homo sapiens (human). The record is from RNAcentral. Lineage: Eukaryota; Metazoa; Chordata; Mammalia; Primates; Hominidae.